RNAcentral lists this ribosomal RNA (253 nucleotides) under uncultured bacterium. RNAcentral's name for it is "partial 16S ribosomal RNA". It matches the Rfam family "Bacterial small subunit ribosomal RNA", at positions 524 to 776 of the family's 1533-position model. The record is from RNAcentral.
UACAGAGGGGGCAAGCGUUGUCCGGAUUCAUUGGGCGUAAAGGGUGCGUAGGCGGCGCGGUAAGUCGGGUGUGAAAUCUCGGGGCUUAACUCCGAAACUGCAUUCGAUACUACCGUGCUUGAGGACUGGAGAGGAGACUGGAAUUUACGGUGUAGCGGUGAAAUGCGUAGAUAUCGUAAGGAAGACCAGUGGCGAAGGCGGGUCUCUGGACAGUUCCUGACGCUGAGGCACGAAGGCCAGGGGAGCAAACGGG